RNAcentral lists this ribosomal RNA (433 nucleotides) under uncultured bacterium. Its description in RNAcentral is "partial 16S ribosomal RNA". It matches the Rfam family "Bacterial small subunit ribosomal RNA", at positions 29 to 507 of the family's 1533-position model. The record is from RNAcentral.
AACGAACGCUGGCGGCACGCCUAACACAUGCAAGUCGAACGAGACCUUCGGGUCUAGUGGCGCACGGGUGCGUAACGCGUGGGAACCUGCCCUUAGGUUCGGAAUAACUCCCCGAAAGGGGUGCUAAUACCGGAUAAUGUCUUCGGACCAAAGAUUUAUCGCCUUUGGAUGGGCCCGCGUUGGAUUAGCUAGUUGGUAGGGUAAAAGCCUACCAAGGCGACGAUCCAUAGCUGGUCUGAGAGGAUGAUCAGCCACGCUGGGACUGAGACACGGCCCAGACUCCUACGGGAGGCAGCAGUGGGGAAUAUUGGACAAUGGGCGAAAGCCUGAUCCAGCAAUGCCGCGUGAGUGAUGAAGGCCUUAGGGUUGUAAAGCUCUUUUACCCGGGAUGAUAAUGACAGUACCGGGAGAAUAAGCUCCGGCUAACUCCGUG